Molecule: ribosomal RNA, 259 nt
Filed under: uncultured bacterium
Lineage: Bacteria
Description: partial 16S ribosomal RNA
Rfam family: Bacterial small subunit ribosomal RNA
Source: RNAcentral
UUGGCGGACGGGUGAGUAACGCGUGGAAAACCUGCCGUAUACUGGGGGAUAACACUUAGAAAUAGGUGCUAAUACCGCAUAAGCGCACAGCUUCGCAUGAAGCGGUGUGAAAAACUCCGGUGGUAUACGAUGGUUCCGCGUCUGAUUAGCUAGUUGGUGGGGUAAUGGCCUACCAAGGCAACGAUCAGUAGCCGGCCUGAGAGGGUGAACGGCCACAUUGGGACUGAGACACGGCCCAAACUCCUACGGGAGGCAGCAG